AGUGUAUGUGGCGGAUGCCUUGGCGAUCACAGGCGAUGAAGGACGUGACAGCCUGCGAAAAGCCGUGGGGAGUUGGCAAAUGAACUUUGAUCCACGGAUGUCCGAAUGGGGGAACCCGGUCUCUUCGGAGACCAUUCCAGUCUGAAUACAUAGGGCUGGAAGGCGAACGCGGUGAACUGAAACAUCUAAGUAACCGCAGGAAAAGAAAUCAACCGAGAUUCCGAAAGUAGCGGCGAGCGAAAUCGGAGGAGCCUAGCGUUCGAUAGCGAAUUCGAUACCGGAACGGUCUGGAAAGUCCGGCUACAGAGGGUGAUAGCCCCGUACGGGAAAUCGAAGUCGUGGUACUAAGUGCGCGAAAAGUAGGGCGGGACACGUGACAUCCUGUCUGAAGAUGGGUGGACCAUCAUCCAAGGCUAAAUACUCGUGAUCGACCGAUAGCGAACCAGUACUGUGAAGGAAAGGCGAAAAGAACCCCGGGAGGGGAGUGAAAUAGAUCCUGAAACCGCAUACAUACAAACAGUAGGAGCCUCUUUAUGGGGUGACUGCGUACCUUUUGCAUAAUGGGUCAGCGACUUACGUUUAGCGGCAAGCUUAACCGAUUAGGGGAGGCGCAGCGAAAGCGAGUUCGAACAGAGCGAUGAAGUCGUUAGGCGUAGACCCGAAACCAGAUGAUCUAUCCAUGGCCAGGUUGAAGGUGUGGUAACACACACUGGAGGACCGAACCGACUAGUGUUGCAAAAUUAGCGGAUGAGCUGUGGAUAGGGGUGAAAGGCUUAACAAAUCUGGAGAUAGCUGGUUCUCCCCGAAAACUAUUGAGGUAGUGCCUCGUGUAUUGCUCCAGGGGGUAGAGCACUGUUAUGGCUAGGGGGACAUGGCGUCUUACCAAACCAUGGCAAACUCCGAAUACUUGGAAGUAAGAGCACGGGAGACAGAGCACCGGGUGCUAACGUCCGGACUCAAGAGGGAAACAACCCAGACCGCCGUUUAAGGUCCCAAAUAUUGACUAAGUGGAAAACGAAGUGUGAAGGCUAAGACAGUCAGGAAGUUGGCUUAGAAGCAGCCAUCCUUCAAAGAAAGCGUAAUAGCUCACUGAUCGAGUCUUCCUGCGCGGAAGAUGUAACGGGGCUAAGUCAAUAACCGAAGCCGCGGAUUCACGACUUGUCGUGAGUGGUAGGGGAGCGUUCUGUAAGCCUGCGAAGGCGGUUCGCAAGGACUGCUGGAGGUAUCAGAAGUGCGAAUGCUGACAUGAGUAACGUUAAAGCAGGUGAAAAGCCUGCUCGCCGUAAGCCCAAGGUUUCCUGCUCUACGUUCAUCGGAGCAGGGUGAGUCGGCCCCUAAGGCGAGGCUGAGAAGCGUAGCUGAUGGGAACAAGGUUAAUAUUCCUUGACCGCCGUUGAGUGCGAAGGGGGGACGGAGUGUUGAAGAUCAUCCGGGUGUUGGAUGUCCCGGUUUGUGAACGUAGGAGGCCGGCAGGCAAAUCCGCCGGCGUAUCUCCGAGGUGAAGCAUCGAGGUCCGUAUGGACCGAAGUGAUCGGAUGGGCUCCCAGGAAAAGCCUCUAAGCUCCAGCUCAACGGGACCGUACCGCAAACCGACACUGGUGGGCGAGCUGAAUAUGCUCAGGCGCUUGAGAGAACUCAGGAGAAGGAACUCGGCAAAUUGACACCGUAACUUCGGGAUAAGGUGUGCCUCGGUAGCGUGAAGGAAGAAACAUCCGGAGCGUGAAGAGGUCUCAGAGAAUCGGUGGCUGCGACUGUUUACUAAAAACACAGCACUCUGCAAAGACGAAAGUCGACGUAUAGGGUGUGAUGCCUGCCCGGUGCUGGAAGAUUAAUUGAUGGGGUGCAAGCUCCUGAUCGAAGUCCCAGUAAACGGCGGCCGUAACUAUAACGGUCCUAAGGUAGCGAAAUUCCUUGUCGGGCAAGUUCCGACCUGCACGAAUGGCAUAACGAUGGCCACACUGUCUCCUCCUGAGACUCAGUGAAGUUGAAGUGUUUGUGAUGAUGCAAUCUCCCCGCGGCUAGACGGAAAGACCCCAUGAACCUUUACUGUAGCUUUGCAUUGGACUU
Molecule: ribosomal RNA, 2067 nt
Filed under: human gut metagenome
Description: bacterial LSU rRNA
Rfam family: Bacterial large subunit ribosomal RNA
Source: RNAcentral